Long non-coding RNA from Puntigrus tetrazona (Sumatra barb), 1812 nucleotides. RefSeq lists it as uncharacterized. The record is from RefSeq and is a predicted model, not a curated record. NCBI's taxonomy places the organism in Eukaryota, Metazoa, Chordata, Actinopteri, Cypriniformes, Cyprinidae. The transcript is spliced from 4 exons.
GGCGUUCACUCACAACCUUUUCGUGAGCUCGGAUGAAACCCGCGCUUCUCCUAGGAACGUUCUCCGAAACUCUGCUUUAAUACCUGUCAGGACUUCUCUCGCCUAUUACCGUUCAUUGUUUUAAAGUACGCUCGAAGUUCACACGUUUCGACAAUAUGCAAAUAUAAAAGAGGCCCACGAUGGUUGCCGGGGGAUGACAUGACAUGGCUAAUGAGGAAAGGCCCAUCACGAGACCACACACACACACACGAAGAUGAGAUCAGAGAGUAAACAGAGACCAAAUGUGCUCUAAUAAAACUACAGAUCUUCUAGCCGGCUCAUUUCCAUAAAGCAGUUCCUGCACAAAUCAGGACUAUGGAAUCUGCAGUGAUAGAAGUCUGUGUACAUGCAUCUUCCUCCAUAUGAAUACUGGCAUAAAAAAGGCGAUGAAUUCAUUUGUUUAAGGGCGUAAAAGUUCUUUACCACAGUUAAUCCAUUUAAUUAACUCAAGUAAAAGAUGGAUAAAACCCUUUUAUCAAAGCUCAACAUGUAAGAAAUAUAAUCUGCAGAAAUAUAAUCUCACAGGUUGGCUACAAAUUAUAACAUGCAAUAAGAGAGAGAGAGACAUUUAUGAAUAUCAUCCAAGCUCAAUAUAUAUAAAACGUAUGUAUAUAUGUCUAACAAAAUAACAUAAAUUAAAUUGAAUGUUUAGCUUCCUAGCAUAAACUUGGAACGCCGUGCUUCGUUAUGUGCAUUAGAGAGAUACGCUGCCAUGAAAUAAUUAUCAGAUGUCAAGCUGUUCUGAUGCUCAGUUCCAUUUGUGCGGUUGUUAUGAUGAUGCCAUCCUGCCUUACAACUCACUCUCUCUCUCUCUCUCUAUCUCUCUCUCUCUGUGUGUGCAUCCUGUCUGCAAAUAUAUCUGCAAAUCUCAGGAUUCGCUUGGAAAGAUGCCAGCCGAGUGUCUUGUGAGCUGAGCUGGCAAAACGUCCAACCGUAUGUAAAAUACUGCCCCUCUGGUGAUAUCAGUCUUUAAAAGAGAGCUAAUUUCAUUUUUCAAAAGCAGCCGCUUGAUAGCUGCACAAUUACUCUGCGCUGCCCCGUCCCCUGUUUAAAGCCGCACAGACUUUUAUAUCAGGCGAGAGAUUUGUGGAUAUCUAAAUUGGAAGGUAAACCUGUAUAAACAGUAGUAAUUACCGUGCCAUUCACAGGGCCUGUUGUGCUCGUUCGGCAACAGCCACAGUGAUUAAAAUGAAUCUCCAUCGACUUCUCCAUUAAAUUGCUGGCAGUGGCGAUCCUUUGACCUUUCCCAUUGAUUGAACAUAACAAUCACAAUUCAAUUGUAAUGCAAAGAGAACAUUUGUUAUAAUGUACAUGAGAUGCAUGAGCCAUUUCCUAGAGGGUUGAGGUAAUCAAUGAAGUGACUUCAAAAGGAACCUGCACAAAGACUCAUUCUAGUCAGAAUCUGCACUACACAUCGAACCUAACGUCUGUUGCAUCACUCAAUACAUUUGCAUCCUAUAGAAAAAAGAUACUGUGAUUCCAAAACCCUUGGUGUCAUUUCACGCUAGCUACAAUAGCCCAAAUACUGACGGGUACGAUCCGACGUUCAUUUGUUUCGAUUUUUGCGACGCUAAGCCUUCCCAGAAUUCACUGCAUGUGCCACAGAGGUCUAAGAAAAUGAUUACGGCUGACAUUUCGCUGAAUUAUUUCCCUCUCUUUUUUUUUUGCAUUGUUCUCUGUGCAUCCACUGAUUAGUAACAUCUGUAUGUGACACUGGUGCGGUUCCAGAAACCCUUCUGCUCGUAAAACGCCAUUAAACUUGCUGCGAAACUA